AGUCUGGUGCCAGCAGCCGCGGUAAUUCCAGCUCUCAAAGUGUAUGUCAUUAUUGCUGCGGUUAAAAAGCUCGUAGUUGGAUCUGAGCCCGUGGAUACAGUUCACCUCUGUGUGAUACUGUCAUCCUGGGUUAAUUUCGUCGGUCUUCCGGCGAGAGUUACUCUGAACAAAUCGGAGUGCUCAAAACAAGCGUUUCGCUUGAACGUUUUUGCAUGGAAUAAUGGAAAAGGACUUCGGUUCCUUACUGUUGGUUUCGGAAUUGGAUUAAUGAUUAAGAGGGACCAACGGGGGCAUACGUAUCGCUGCGCGAGAGGUGAAAUUCAUGGACCGCAGCGAGACGACCUACAGCGAAAGCAUUUGCCAAGAAUGUCUUCAUUAAUCAAGAACGAAAGUCAGAGGUUCGAAGGCGAUUAGAUACCGCCGUAGUUCUGACCGUAAACGAUACCAUCUAGCGAUCCGAUGGCGGUAUUACCGCCUCGUCGGGGAGCUUCCCGGAAACGAAAGACUUCCGGUUCCGGGGGUAGUAUGGUUGCAAAGCUGAAACUUAAAGGAAUUGACGGAAUCGCACCACCAGGAGUGGAGCCUGCGGCUUAAUUUGACUCAACACGGGAAAACUCACCCGGCCCGGACACUGUAAGGAUUGACAGACUGAGAGCUCUUUCUUGAUUCGGUGGUUGGUGGUGCAUGGCCGUUCUUAGUUGGUGGAGCGAUUUGUCUGGUUUAUUCCGAUAACGAGCGAGACGCAAGCCUACUCAAUACUUCGAGAAUAAUUUUGUUCUCAGAAGUUCUUAGAGGAAUUGGCGGUAUCGAGCCGCACGAAAGUGCGCAAUAACAGGUCUGUGAUGCCCUUAGAUGUUCGGGGCUGCACGCGUGCUACACUGGAGUCUGCAACGUGCUCCAUGGCCGAAGGGUCACUGGUAAACCGUUGAAAAGAUUCCGUGAUCGGGAUAGGGAAUUGCAAUUAUUUCCCUUGAACGAGGAAUUCCUAGUAAGUGUGAGUCAUCAUCUCGCUCUUAAUACGUCCCUGCGAUUUGUACACACCGCCCGUCGCUACCCGGGACUGAACCGUUUCGAGAAAUCCAGGGAAUCGUUCGCGGGACUUGUUCCUUGCGAGUGGUGAACUGGCUUGAUCGCGACGGUUUGAACCGGGUAAAAGUCGUAACAAGGUACCGGUAGGUGAACCUGCCGGUG
RNAcentral lists this ribosomal RNA (1191 nucleotides) under Hyaloperonospora arabidopsidis. Its description in RNAcentral is "SSU rRNA". It matches the Rfam family "Eukaryotic small subunit ribosomal RNA", at positions 558 to 1823 of the family's 1831-position model. Lineage: Eukaryota; Oomycota; Peronosporomycetes; Peronosporales; Peronosporaceae. The record is from RNAcentral.